Molecule: non-coding RNA, 82 nt
Organism: Ixodes scapularis (black-legged tick)
Lineage: Eukaryota; Metazoa; Arthropoda; Arachnida; Ixodida; Ixodidae
Source: Rfam
GCAGUCGUGGCCGAGUAGUUAAGGCGAUGGAGUAGAAAUCCAUUCGGGUCUUCCCGCACAGUUUCGAAUACUGUCGACUGCG